UUUUUUUUGUUUUUUGUUUU
Molecule: microRNA, 20 nt
Filed under: Corchorus olitorius
Lineage: Eukaryota; Viridiplantae; Streptophyta; Magnoliopsida; Malvales; Malvaceae
Also listed under: 1 other name
Description: bta-miR-24
Source: RNAcentral